Molecule: long non-coding RNA, 510 nt
Organism: Propithecus coquereli (Coquerel's sifaka)
Lineage: Eukaryota; Metazoa; Chordata; Mammalia; Primates; Indriidae
Exons: 3
Source: RefSeq, a predicted model, not a curated record
CCAACAAGCUGUUUUACAAUAACUGCUUUUGGAUGGGCCUGCGCUUCCUAUUUCUCUACAGGCCCCACCAUUCCCUUUCGUCUCCUACCCAGCCACUUCACAUGUCUACGUUACCUGCCAGGCCCCUGAAGACCUCUGAGGUUUUCAAACCCUGCGUUAUACCUUGGACUCCACACAGAGCAGAAAGAGAGAGUCGAUCAUGCCCUCCUCUGUGCUCCCACGGCACUUCGGCAGCAGCUAGUAUUGCACUUAUCGCAUCGUAUUAAGGAGCCUCAGGUGAUGACGGAGGAAGAUGAAGGUGGAGUGGGCACUAGAGCUAAUGAAAGAAACAGAGCUGAUGCCCCAGAACAGUGAAUCGCAGCUGAUGGAAGAUGUUGGGGCUGGAGAAGCUACGGGAAGACAGAGCUGAAUAAAUGACAGCAGGAUGAAAGACAGAUUAGAAGAAAUGGGGACUUUGGCAAAGUAAAAAUCUUACUUGCCUCAAAGUAUAAAUGGGUGGACUAGCGGAGA